Molecule: RNase P RNA, 393 nt
Filed under: Tindallia sp. MSAO_Bac2
Lineage: Bacteria; Bacillati; Bacillota; Clostridia; Peptostreptococcales; Tindalliaceae
Description: RNase P RNA component class A
Rfam family: Bacterial RNase P class A
About the family: Ribonuclease P (RNase P) is a ubiquitous endoribonuclease, found in archaea, bacteria and eukarya as well as chloroplasts and mitochondria. Its best characterised activity is the generation of mature 5'-ends of tRNAs by cleaving the 5'-leader elements of precursor-tRNAs.
Source: RNAcentral
UGAGUAAAUCAGAUAGUUGCGGCAUCCUCUUGGAUGACGAGGAAAGUCCGAGCUCCAGAGGGCAGGAUGCUGGGUAAUCCCCAGUGGAGGCGACUCCAAGGACAGUGCAACAGAGAAAUACCGCCCAGCACCUAAUAUAAAAAAACUACUUUCAGAUGUCUGCAGGCAUUUUUAUGUUAGGUGCUGGGUAAGGGUGGAAAGGUGAGGUAAGAGCUCACCAGCAGCCUGGCGACUGGCUGGCUAUGUAAACCCCAUCCGGAGCAAGACCAAGUAGGGAUAAAGCAGCGGCUGCCCGUCGUAUCCCGUGGUAGGUUGCUUGAGCCUGCUGGCAACAGCUGGCCUAGAUAGAUGACUAUCGAAUACAGAACUCGGCUUACAGGUUUAACUCGCUCA